GGGCGAAAGCCUGACGCAGCGACGCCGCGUGGGUGAUGAAGGCCUUCGGGUCGUAAAGCCCUGUCGAGGGAACGAAACGGUCUCGACCUAACACGUCGAGUCCCUGACGGUACCCCCUAAAGGAAGCACCGGCUAACUCCGUGCCAGCAGCCGCGGUAAUACGGAGGGGGUUAGCGUUGUUCGGAAUUACUGGGCGUAAAGCGCGCGUAGGCGGAUUAGAAAGUUAGGGGUGAAAUCCCAGGGCUCAACCCUGGAACUGCCUCUAAAACUCCUAGUCUUGAGGUCGAGAGAGGUGAGUGGAAUUCCGAGUGUAGAGGUGAAAUUUCGUUAGAUAUUCGGAGGAACACCAGUGGCGAAGGCGGCUCACUGGCUCGAUACUGACGCUGAGGUGCGAAAGCGUGGGGAGCAAACA
This 412-nucleotide ribosomal RNA is filed under the name uncultured Ketogulonicigenium sp. RNAcentral describes it as "bacterial SSU rRNA". It matches the Rfam family "Bacterial small subunit ribosomal RNA", at positions 373 to 774 of the family's 1533-position model. Lineage: Bacteria; Pseudomonadati; Pseudomonadota; Alphaproteobacteria; Rhodobacterales; Roseobacteraceae. The record is from RNAcentral.